ACCCUUCAUGCUAAAAACUCUCAAUAAAUUAGGUAUUGAUGGGACGUAUUUCAAAAUAAUAAGAGGAAACACUUUUCAACAUGUUUUAUGAGUCUACCGUUAUCCCCAUACCAAAACCAUAAAACAGACAUUACAAGAAAAUGUCCUGUAGACAAAUAUGUAUUUUGAUGAUGAAUUUAGAUUUCAAAAACUUCAGCAAAAUAUUAUCCAAUUAAAUCCUCUCAUGUCUGUGUGUGUGUGUGUGUGCAUGCACGUGUGUUUGUAAAAUAUAUCAUUACUAAUUGGCGUUUAUCUUGGGAGUUCAAGAUGGUUUCCAUAUUCAAUCAACCCAUCAAUGUGGACUAUGGUCACUUGAAAAGACCAGCAAAUCCUCUGCACAAAAGGCCACUAGAAAUUCAUUAAAGCAGCCUUCCAUCAUUCUCGAAAUUGACCAAAGCAUUCAACUACCUGAGAAAUAUUUAUGUUUGGAAAGCUAUUGAAAUGCAAUUAAAAAUAUCAGGAAACCUGUUUUUACCUUUUGUCCUAAUCUUGCUAAAUCCUUCUUAAUUUUAGGAGACACUGCUUCUCCUUCCACUGUUCUUUUACUUUCUCCUUCCCCUUUGUUUUUGCCUCCCCCUUCCUCUCCCUUUUCUACAUUCCUUCUCUCUCCUAAAUGCUGUAUAAAUUUCUACAUAUGUAAUCAUAUUAUUUACAAAUAGGAACAGUUUUACUUAUUUCUUUCCAGUCUGCAUUUAUUUUAUUCUUCCUUUUUUUCCUUACACACUGGAUAGAACUCUAAGUAUUAUGUUGAAAAAGAGUGAUAAAAGCAAACAUCUUUGCUUUAUUCCUGAGCAUACAUGUGGAAAACAUUCAGUGUUUCACAGCUAAAUAUGAUGGAUUUUUUGUAUGCUCUUUAUCAAGAUGAAGGAAUUUUCUGCUAUUUCUGGUUUGCUGAAUUUUUAUCACAAGUAACUGUUGAAUAGUGUCUUUUUCCCCUGCAUUUAUUGAACUGAUCAUGCAUUCUCCUAUUUUAGAAUAUUAAUAUGAUGAACUAUAUUAUUAGAUUUUUUAAAAUAUUGCAACUGUCUUGCAUUUCUGGAAUAAACAUGGCUUGGUCAUGUGUCACUUUUUUACAUAGUGUCGUAUUCAAGUUGUCGAGGAUUUUGCAUCUAGGGUAUAUUUGUAGAUUUGCAUCUAGGUUAUGUUGGUCUAAAGUUUUGUUUGUUUGUUUUCCUUUUCUUUUUUUUUAUCAUCUUUGUCUUCUUCUGUUUAAGUGUCAUGCUUGCUUCAUAAAAUGAAUUGAGAAGCAUUUCUUCCUCUUCUGUUUCUCGAAAAUUGUAGAGAACUCUUGUUUUUUGUUGUUGUUUGUUUGUUGUUUUGUUUUUUCUUAUUUUUAUCCUCAUACUGAGAACCAAACAGUCUGGAGUGUAAAACAUGGUUCCUCAUUCCAGUUAAAUCUAGUAUACAAUGACAACAACCCUCUUGGGUUAAGCAUUGGCCUACAAACAGAAAAAAACCUUCAGGGAGAUAGAUGCUGAUCUAGGCAUUGUGAGAAAAGCUGAAUUCAUUUUUAAUCAUGAAUGGCUUUUAAGGAAAGAAGAUUUAUUAACUAAAAUAAAUAGAUUAGAGGGAAUUCUCACCUAUGAGAGAGGAAGGGAUGGGAUUCAACCUGGAAAAAGUAAUGAAGUUUUAGUGAACUUGGUAAGGUAGACUCAACAAUUAAUGAUGGAUAAUGCUAGGACCCAACACUGGUAAUGAGUUUGUAUUAUGACUCAAUAGCAUCACUUUAUCACUUUAACACAGAUGGAGGCCUAAAUAACCAUAGGGUAAUGGUUCUUCUUAGAUGCAGAAGGACACAUUUAUAUAAUCUUAGGGACCCCAUCUCUGAGGUCACUCAUAAUUUAUAUUAAUUCAUUGUUAUUGCCAUUGCCCCAAGAAUAGAUAAGGAUAAGACAUCCUGUAGUACAGGUAGCAGAGAUAUAAACUAUUCUUAUUCUUGUGUCUUGUCUAUAGGAAGGGAGUGUAUCCUGGUGUAAGACAGCAUAUAGUAGAGACCAUUGUCAAUUAGGGCCUGUGAACUAAGACAGGGUGACUGGCUAAGUCCACAACCCAUUAGAAACCCAGAAAUAAUCAAAUCAUGGUGAGUAGUAAUAACACUUAUUUAUAAUACUAUACGGUAUAAAGACAAGAACCAAUUAUGUUGAGUAGCUGUAACAAAUAGCUCUAUCAUUCGUAAUAACUUUUUCUGUAAUAAAACUGAAUUGUAACAUGAUCAUACUGCAAUAUGACAUUACACUAGCAUUGUUGGUAAGAUUCAACUAUCUUAUGUAGAGAAGUUAUAUAAUGCUUAUAUUGAUAAUCAAAUGUAUUAAGAUAUUGAGUUAAAGCCUCUUCAGAAUGUAAUCUGGGUGAAUAAUAAAUGGCCUGAGAAAACAGAAUUCAGCUAACCAUUAUCUAAUUUCAAUGCUAAAUAGUUCUGCACAGAUUUAUCAAAAAGUAAAAAUAAAAGCAGAUUGAGAGGAGGAAUGAAUAAUUUUGUUUGUACAAAAUAUUAAAGUGUAUGUAAUGGGCUUGUAGGAUGCAUUAGUAAUUUUUAAAAAUCAAUCUUUACCCUACACUGUGUCCAUAAAAUGCUAGGCAUAUUCAUGUUAAUAUUACUGUUGUUACUGUCAUAUAAAUGCCAUAUUCAAUGUAGAUGCUCAGAAAAAUAUGAUUGUUUUGCUACAGGAGAGAUUAGACCAGGGACAAUAAAUAUGGAUUAGGCAAGAAUGUGUUAACUCAGCAGCCCAGGGUUUUUUCAACCCUGCACAUUCAAAGGUAAGGUUUGUUUUUAGGACUAGCUAGCCUCUGAGUUCUGGAAAUAGUCUUACCGUGAAGAGUGUUUUUGUAUAUCUGAGGCCUUGGGUUUAUGGUGAAUGACUGACUUAUAUGCCUGAGGCCCUGAGCCAUGCUGUAUUUAUUUGAACCAUGUGGUAUCAAUUUAACCAGAUACGUUUAUUCUAAGAUAUGAUUUAUGCUGAAUGCCUGGUUUUGUUCUAGAGGGAUCAUGGAAAGGAAGCUGAAUUUGCCAAGUUUUGCCACUUGGGCAUUGCAUGCCUAUGUGAUUAACCACCAAUAAAAACCUGGGACAUCAAAGAAUAAAUAAGCUGCUCUAAUUGCCAAGAAUUCACAUGUGGUUGUAUGCAGCUUUACUGGGAGACUGAAGUGUAUCUGCAUGUGAUUCUGCUGUGAUGGACACUUGAUCUUGAGAUGACGUCAUACUGGAUGAUCCUAGUGCACCCUAAAUCCAAUAAGUGUUCUUAUGAAAGACAGAAGAGGAGAAGAUACAGGAAAUAGAAGAAGGCUACUUGAGGAUGGAAGCAGAGAUUGGAGUUAUGCAGCUACAAACCAAAGAAUGCCUUGAGCCACCAGCAGCUGAAAGAGCUAGUCAGCAAUACAACUGGGAUUUGAUAUCAGAUUCAUACGAUUCCGAAGACCCUGACCACCAAAUGCAAAAGAUGCUGUAGUCUGAGUAGCUGAAAUCACUCAUAUAGGCACCACCUUACAUGACUGAUGCCCAGUAAAAGCCCUGGAGACCAAAACUUAAAUGAGCUUCUCUGAUUGACAACACUUCAAUAUGCUGUCAAAUAUUGUUGCUGGGAGAAUUACGUGUGUUCUUAUGGGAUUCCACUGGGAGAGGACACCUGAAAGCUUGUACCUGAUAUCUUCUACAUUUCUCCCCAUGGGCUUUUUUUCUUUGUUGAUUUUAAUCUGUAUCUUUUCAUUGUAGUAAACUGUAACUAUGAAUGUAAUGUGUUUUCUAAGACCUGUGAAUCAUUAUAGUUAAUCUUUGAGCCUAAGGGUGGUCAUAAGGAGCCCCAACACACUAAUAAAUUACUUUCAUAAAGAAUAUAUAAAAGCUGUCAAAAAUCAAAAAUAAAACAAAUCACCCAAUUUUUUAAAAGGCAAAAGAUUGAAAAAGACGUCAUGAUAGAAGACAUGGAUGACAAAUAAGUAUAUCAAAAAAUUUUAACAUCUGUAGUCAUUAAAGAAUUGAAAACCACAAAGAAAUACUACUGAUAGUUAUUACAAUGUCCAAAGUGAAAAAAAAUAUUGACCCUACCAGGUAUAUGCAACAAAAUGGAGGAACUGAAACGUUAAUAUACUUUUGAUUGACAACCACUUUGUAAAAUAGAUAGAUUGACAGCUUCUUAAAAAAGUAAACCUAUGCUUACCACUUAAUCUAGUCAUUUAUCUUCUAGAUAUUUCCCCCUCGAAAAAUGAAAAAGAAAUUGUUGUAUAUAAAUAUUCAUAGGCAUUUUCUCUUUAAUAGCUAAAAUGUGGUCAUGACCCACAUAUUCAUUAACAAGUAAUUGGUGAUAUAUACGUACAGCAAAAUUCUGCUCAGCAAUGAAAAGGUUCGACUACUGACACAUGCAACAACAUGAAUGAAUUUCAAAAGAAUUUUGCUGUAAAGCAAAAAUGCCAGCCAAAAAAUAGUGCACCUUAUAUGAUUCCAUUUAUAUAAAACUUCUGGAUGCACCAAUAUACAAUAUACAGUAAUAUACAAUACUGAAAGAUGGUCAGCAGUUGUCUAGCUAAGAUGCUUAUUAGGAGAGACAAUAAUUGCAAAAGGGGAUUAUUAAAAGUAGUCAUGAGGAAACAUUUUGUGGAUUUAUAUGUUCACUAUCUUGACAAUAAUGAUGAUCUCACGGAUGUAUAAAUAUGUCAGAGCAUAUCUAAUAAUUUAUCUUACAUAUUUUUGGCUUUUAAUAUGUUAAUUAUAGCUCAAUAAAUUUCUUAAAAACUCAUUGGACUCUAUCUGUAAUGUGUGUAUGUUUAGUUUUAAGUAGAGUGCAGCUAAAUUUUUCUCCACCAUUACAAUUUUCAAACAUACUUUCACUUACAGAAUAGCAUACUGAAAAUUAACACAUGCUUUUAUAAUUAUAAAUAAAAUAGUAAUAUAUCAUUUCUGCUGAAAUAAAUGCAAACCAAUUACAAGGAAUUUAUUAGUUUUUAUUUUAGUUACUUCAUAUAUAUUAGCAUCUAAGCCUCAAAGAUUCACUAUGUAAUUGUGUAAAUUAGUAGUAGGGUUACCUGAAUCUGGCUUAAUAGUGAAUUAAUCAGUAUUUAUCUUUAAACAUUUUUUCCUUUAUGAAUUGUGUCACACUUUUAAAGAGCCCUUCCUACAUUACAAGCAUGUAUAAAAUAUAUUCUUAUACUAUUUUAGAAUAAUUUCAGAAGUUAGAUUGUUUUCUAGAUUUAGUGUUUUCAUUGAUACCAAAUUUAUUUUUAUGUACAUAAAUGUAUGAUUUUAAGUUAGAUUAUUUCAAACUGGUAUCCCUGCAAUUAUCUGAACAAAAAU
This 5323-nucleotide long non-coding RNA is filed under the name Homo sapiens (human). RNAcentral's name for it is "HSALNT0351991". The record is from RNAcentral. Lineage: Eukaryota; Metazoa; Chordata; Mammalia; Primates; Hominidae.